AAUCUGUGGUGCGAGCAUUUUUGAAUGAACAUUUUGAAAUGUUCCCACACCUCAUAAUAACUUUCUUCCUCCAUCUGUCUAAAUACAACAAUCUCUCUUCUUAGUUA
This is a non-coding RNA of Gossypium raimondii (Peruvian cotton), 107 nucleotides long. The record is from Rfam. Lineage: Eukaryota; Viridiplantae; Streptophyta; Magnoliopsida; Malvales; Malvaceae.